CUCAAUGACAAGAUCAAAAUAAAAGCAAUUAUACAGCGAAACUGCGAAUGGCUCAUUAUAUAAGUUAUCGUUUAUUUGAUAGUACCUUACUACUUGGAUAACCGUGGUAAUUCUAGAGCUAAUACAUGCUAAAAAUCCCGACUUCGGAAGGGAUGUAUUUAUUAGAUUAAAAACCAAUGCCCUCCGGGGCUCACUGGUGAUUCAUGAUAACUCCUCGAAUCGCAUGGCCUUGCGCCGGCGAUGGUUCAUUCAAAUUUCUUCCCUAUCAACUUUCGAUGUUUGGGUAUUGGCCAAACAUGGUUGCAACGGGUAACGGAGGGUUAGGGCUCGACCCCGGAGAAGGAGCCUGAGAAACGGCUACUACAUCCAAGGAAGGCAGCAGGCGCGCAAAUUACCCAAUCCCGACACGGGGAGGUAGUGACAAUAAAUACUGAUACAGGGCUCUUUUGGGUCUUGUAAUUGGAAUGAGUACAAUUUAAAUCCCUUAACGAGGAACAAUUGGAGGGCAAGUCUGGUGCCAGCAGCCGCGGUAAUUCCAGCUCCAAUAGCGUAUAUUAAAGUUGUUGUGGUUAAAAAGCUCGUAGUUGAACCUUGGGCCUGGCUGGCCGGUCCGCCUCACCGCGUGUACUGGUCCGGCCGGGCCUUUCCCUCUGUGGAACCCCAUGCCCUUCACUGGGCGUGGCGGGGAAACAGGACUUUUACUGUGAAAAAAUUAGAGUGCUCCAGGCAGGCCUAUGCUCGAAUACAUUAGCAUGGAAUAAUAGAAUAGGACGUGUGGUUCUAUUUUGUUGGUUUCUAGGACCGCCGUAAUGAUUAAUAGGGACAGUCGGGGGCAUCAGUAUUCAAUUGUCAGAGGUGAAAUUCUUGGAUUUAUUGAAGACUAACUACUGCGAAAGCAUUUGCCAAGGAUGUUUUCAUUAAUCAGGAACGAAAGUUAGGGGAUCGAAGACGAUCAGAUACCGUCGUAGUCUUAACCAUAAACUAUGCCGACUAGGGAUCGGACGGUGUUAUUUUUUGACCCGUUCGGCACCUUACGAGAAAUCAAAGUGCUGGGCUCCAGGGGGAGAAUGGUCAACCG
Molecule: ribosomal RNA, 1078 nt
Filed under: Fusarium sp. zzz101
Lineage: Eukaryota; Fungi; Ascomycota; Sordariomycetes; Hypocreales; Nectriaceae
Description: SSU rRNA
Rfam family: Eukaryotic small subunit ribosomal RNA
Source: RNAcentral